AACUGAUUUUGAUAUGGAAUGAGUGAUUAGGCCAAGUGCAAAAAGGUAAUAUUUACAGUUUUCGGAACAUCUCUUGACUUGUCAAUAGGGGUAUGGAUGUGUAUUGGCUAAAUUUGUAAAAGUGAUUGCUUCAAUCUUUCUGAAUUUUGGAUAUAUAUUUGGACUAGGACAAUACAUUAACACACCAAAAAAUUGGACAAAAGUGCAUGGUGCAAUUUUUUUAAUGAUGCAAAAGGUUAUAAAGAACUGAUAGAGGAAUUAAUUGUGGUCUGUGGCCUAAGAGGUGCAUUUCAGCAAAUUUAGAAUUUUUACUUUGGCAUCUUUUCUGAAUGAUCUAUUGGUAUUGAUUUGUCAAACUAUAUGAGAAGAAAUGAUUUUCACUUUCAUUUGAUAGAAAUUUUGUGAAAAAGUCACUUUUCAGGUUAAAUGCCUAAAAUGUAGCUUUUUCACUUUUUUCACUAUUUUUUCAAAA
Molecule: long non-coding RNA, 472 nt
Filed under: Mytilus galloprovincialis (Mediterranean mussel)
Lineage: Eukaryota; Metazoa; Mollusca; Bivalvia; Mytilida; Mytilidae
Source: RNAcentral